RNAcentral lists this ribosomal RNA (109 nucleotides) under Petromyzon marinus (sea lamprey). Lineage: Eukaryota; Metazoa; Chordata; Hyperoartia; Petromyzontiformes; Petromyzontidae. The record is from RNAcentral.
AAUGACCAAAUCACCCGGAAUGUGCCCUGUCUCUUCAGAUCUCAGAAGCUAAGCAGACUUGAGCCUGGGUAGUGCUUGAAUAGGUGGCCACUGCAUGCCAGGCUCAUUU